GUGAGGAAUUUUCCGCAAUGGGCGAAAGCCUGACGGAGCAAUGCCGCGUGAAGGAUGAAGGCCUAUGGGUUGUAAACUUCUUUUCUCAGAAAAGAAUUAUGACGGUAUCUGAGGAAUAAGCAUCGGCUAACUCUGUGCCAGCAGCCGCGGUAAGACAGAGGAUGCAAGCGUUAUCCGGAAUGAUUGGGCGUAAAGCGUCUGUAGGUUGUUUAAAAAGUAUUCUGUCAAAGAUUAGGGCUUAACCCUAGAUAGGCAGAAUAAACUUUUAAGCUAGAGUUUGGUAGAGGCAGAGGGAAUUCCCGGUGGAGCGGUGAAAUGCGUAGAUAUCGGGAGGAACACCAAAGGCGAAGGCACUCUGCUGGGCCAAUACUAACACUGAGAGACGAAAGCGAGGGGAGCAAAUGGGAUUAGAACCCCAGUAGUCC
Molecule: ribosomal RNA, 425 nt
Filed under: uncultured bacterium
Lineage: Bacteria
Description: partial 16S ribosomal RNA
Rfam family: Bacterial small subunit ribosomal RNA
Source: RNAcentral